GACUCUACUCUAGGCCUAGCAGAAUCUGGGCCUACGUGUGGCUUUCAAAACACUAUGUGAUCCCCUGCAAGGCUUUGCAGGCUCCUUAUCUAGAAGCCUGGCACAAUGUGGAAAGGAAGCCUUUCUUCUGUUUCUUUAUAGAUCUGCCUGUACACUGUAUAUCUGGGCUGCACAGCUUUGAUCAGCCUCAAGGCUACCCCAGGGCUGUUGCACCUCAGAUUCCUAAUCCACGUUCUCAGAUGGUUCUUGGUUUUGGGCCUGAAGAGUAUUCCAGAGGUAUGUUGUCAGUGCUGAUUUACCUGAAGGAAUAAACAGUUCCUUACUGAGAGGAGGAUACUAUCAACUGCUGUGGAGAGCUUCCGUAGAGGAUGUGUUUACUGCCAUUCAAAGCAGAAGAGGUGCAUUCAAACAUGCAACUGGAGCUGUUUUGAUGGUAGUGGUGGAGCUGGCCAAGUAGGAUUAGUAGUACCAUUGCAAGUAGGCUUGUGCUCAGGUGGACUGUAAGACAUCAUCCUCAUCCUCUGCUACCAUGAUACAAGUAUCAGGGAUGAUAAUGGUGUGAAUACUCCAAUCACCUGCACUUCUUCAAGACACUAUGAUGCCGUCAGUAGUGCAGAACUCAUGAGUGUGUUGCACUGUCUCCUGUUCUCCAGUUGCCGGUGGUGUGAGAACUACGAUGCGUGUGGAACAGAAACGGGGGGAAUAUAACUCUGCGUUUGCAGUGCUUGCCAUCCUGUUCUGUCUGGUCAUUCUGGCUGCUUUGGCUUUCCUGGCAAAACGUCUGCUGAUGAAGAGACAAGAAGAUGCAAUGCCAUUUGAAGCUGUCAGGAAAAAUGAAGACCCAGAUCCAGCAAAUGAAGGGCAAACCAUCGUGAGAUUUAUGAUAGAAAUUGAAGAUCUUUCUGGGGAUUCAAUGUCAAAUCUGAAGGGUCUCCACUCUGCUAUCUCACAAAUCAAUGACAUAUUCAGUCAGUCCCCACAGCGAUCCGCAAAGCAGUCAGGAAUCGCUGAAAGAAGCAAAAAGGCACAAAAGUCACGAAAAGAGGAGAAAAAUACAUCCUGA
This 1063-nucleotide long non-coding RNA is filed under the name Coturnix japonica (Japanese quail). RNAcentral describes it as "lncRNA (ENSCJPG00005002609.1)". Lineage: Eukaryota; Metazoa; Chordata; Aves; Galliformes; Phasianidae. The record is from RNAcentral.